UGGCAUGAAAAUUUUCAGAAUGACUGAGUGAUGUUUUAAGCUACUUCCCUGCAGGAUGCGGAGUCACUUAGAAAGACUCGGCGAGUGCCCACAGUUGGCGUCGUGCUCGGAGGAAGCGCAGCCUGGUAACGACAGCCCACGAGCCCGUGACACUGCCGUCCCUCCAUCGCUCCGAGCUGGCACCCCGUGGCAGCAAGAAAUCCAGCCUAGGGAUUUACACUCCCCGGUUGUGAGACACUGUUUAAAGUCUGUGGUCCAUGGAUCUACCAACCCACUGAGAAUUUAUGUCACUUCUGGUGAUGUGUGUUCGGCAUGCCAAGGAGGAUAUGAAGACUCAGUUUUGUGAGAAAAUGUAUUAUAAAGAUACUCAUUAGAAUUGAAUUAGAAUUUGAAUGAAUU
RNAcentral lists this long non-coding RNA (399 nucleotides) under Ficedula albicollis (Collared flycatcher). RNAcentral describes it as "lncRNA (ENSFALG00000024275.1)". The record is from RNAcentral. Lineage: Eukaryota; Metazoa; Chordata; Aves; Passeriformes; Muscicapidae.